UCCGUAGGUGAACCUGCGGAAGGAUCAUUAGUGAAUUUAGCGCAUCUACUUUGUAGAGCGUGACCUCCACUUUCUAACUCUGUGCACUUAAUGGCGGAAGAAGAUGUGUAAAAGCUCUUCUUCUGCGGCUCAUUUUAUAACACUAGUUAAAGAAUGUAACGAAAUAUCGAAACAAAAAAAAACUUUCAACAACGGAUCUCUUGGCUCUCGCAUCGAUGAAGAACGCAGCGAAAUGUGAUAAGUAAUGUGAAUUGCAGAAUUCAGUGAAUCAUCGAAUCUUUGAACGCACCUUGCGCUCCCUGGUAUUCCGGGGAGCAUGUCUGUUUGAGUGUCAUGAACUCUUCAACCCACCAGUUUCUUGUAAACUGAAUGGUGUUUGGUUUCUGAGCGUUGCUCGUCCUCUGUGACUGAGCUCGUUCGUAAUAUAUGAGCAUCUCUAAUUCGAAUUCGGAUUGACUCAGUGUAAUAGACUAUUCGCUGAGGACACGCUUUUAGUGUGGCCGAAUAAGAUAAUUGUAGAAGCUUCCAACCCUUCUAGUCAUUUUAAGAUUAGACCUCAGAUCAGAUAGGACUACCCGCUGAACUUAAGCAUAUCAAUAAGCGGAGGAA
RNAcentral lists this ribosomal RNA (609 nucleotides) under uncultured fungus. Its description in RNAcentral is "eukaryotic LSU rRNA". The stretch from base 181 to 334 matches the Rfam family "5.8S ribosomal RNA". The record is from RNAcentral. Lineage: Eukaryota; Fungi.